UUUAGUGAGUUUCUUGUUGGUGGAGAGGGGUUACGUUAAAGUAGGCUCUCCUGGUCAUUGCCCAGGCUCCGCUCUAAUCGCGAUCCUUGCUUGAUCAGGCGGAUGGAGGGGAGUUUGGCCCAUAAACGAGCCCUGGUGACGGGCGCUGGGAAAGGCAUUGGUAGAGCCACUGCUAAGGCUCUACUUGCAUGUGGUGCAGAAGUUAUUGCAUUAACCAGGACCCAGUCUGACUUGGAUAGCCUUGUUCAGGAGUGCCCUAAAAUAUUGACUAUUUGCGUGGACAUUAAUGACUGGGAAGACACAGAAAAUGCCCUGAAGGAUGUCGGUCGCAUAGACCUUUUGGUGAACAAUGCUGCAGUUGCAAUUUUGCAGCCAUUUCUGAGUGUCACAGAAGAUGCAUUUGAUAAAAUGUUUGGCGUUAAUGUAAAAGCACUGUUACAUGUUUCACAGAUAAUUGCAAGGGGAAUGAUAUGUUGUGGAGGUGGUGGUGCUAUCGUGAACAUCUCCAGCCAGGCGGCUCAAAGUGCUCUGAGAGACCAUGCUGUAUACUGUGCUUCAAAAGGAGCUGUGGAUAUGCUGACAAAAGUGAUGGCACUUGAGCUGGGACCACACCAGGAAAUACAGAGCGGCAUUUCCAGAUGCUAUGUUGAUGUUGGGAGAAUUCCAGAUCAGAGUGAACGCAGUGAAUCCCACUGUAGUGAUGACCGCAAUGGGUCGGAUUGGGUGGAGUGACCCAACAAAAGCUGCAGGAAUGUUGUCACGUAUCCCACUGCAGAGGUUUGCAGAGGUAGAUGAUGUGGUGAAUGCAAUAAUCUUCCUCCUCAGUGACAGAAGUUCGAUGAUAAAUGGAGUGACUCUGCCUGUGGAUGGUGGAUUCCUUUCUUCAUGACCUCGUUUAUUUGUAGAUAAUGGCUCAUUAAAGGCCUGAAUGGAUUCCCAUUUAAUUACUUUCCAUACCAUCCUAAAUGAAUAAAAGACCCAAAACUCUG
RNA transcript from Carcharodon carcharias (great white shark), 989 nucleotides. It is a transcript of the gene named dicarbonyl/L-xylulose reductase, with no coding region annotated. The transcript has 9 exons. The record is from RefSeq and is a predicted model, not a curated record. Lineage: Eukaryota; Metazoa; Chordata; Chondrichthyes; Lamniformes; Lamnidae.